CCUAGAAAGACUGAAAAACUUACCAAAGAGACAGUUAAUAAUUAUGAAGACAUGGAGAGAGAUCUAUUGUCAAUGAAGCAACAGUUAGCUGAGAAGGAGAAACAAGUACAAGAACUAAUGAAAGAGAGAGACCAACCGGAUGAUAUGGAUAAGCUAAAAAUAAAUCUUGUGACAAAAAUUCAGGAAAUUGAUCAUUUAAAGGUUUCUAUUAAAGAGAAAGAUGAUGAGUCAGAUUCUAAGAUUCAGGAAUCACAAAGUAUGAUCCAUGAAGAAG
This is a long non-coding RNA of Amphimedon queenslandica, 274 nucleotides long. RefSeq lists it as uncharacterized. NCBI's taxonomy places the organism in Eukaryota, Metazoa, Porifera, Demospongiae, Haplosclerida, Niphatidae. The record is from RefSeq and is a predicted model, not a curated record. The transcript has 4 exons.